UCGAACGCGUUGGCCCAAUUGAUUGAUGGUGCUUGCACCUGAUUGAUUUUGGUCGCCAACGAGUGGCGGACGGGUGAGUAACACGUAGGUAACCUGCCCAGAAGCGGGGGACAACAUUUGGAAACAGAUGCUAAUACCGCAUAACAGCGUUGUUCGCAUGAACAACGCUUAAAAGAUGGCUUCUCGCUAUCACUUCUGGAUGGACCUGCGGUGCAUUAGCUUGUUGGUGGGGUAACGGCCUACCAAGGCGAUGAUGCAUAGCCGAGUUGAGAGACUGAUCGGCCACAAUGGGACUGAGACACGGCCCAUACUCCUACGGGAGGCAGCAGUAGGGAAUCUUCCACAAUGGGCGCAAGCCUGAUGGAGCAACACCGCGUGAGUGAAGAAGGGUUUCGGCUCGUAAAGCUCUGUUGUUAAAGAAGAACACGUAUGAGAGUAACUGUUCAUACGUUGACGGUAUUUAACCAGAAAGUCACGGCUAACUACGUGCCAGCAGCCGCGGUAAUACGUAGGUGGCAAGCGUUAUCCGGAUUUAUUGGGCGUAAAGAGAGUGCAGGCGGUUUUCUAAGUCUGAUGUGAAAGCCUUCGGCUUAACCGGAGAAGUGCAUCGGAAACUGGAUAACUUGAGUGCAGAAGAGGGUAGUGGAACUCCAUGUGUAGCGGUGGAAUGCGUAGAUAUAUGGAAGAACACCAGUGGCGAAGGCGGCUACCUGGUCUGCAACUGACGCUGAGACUCGAAAGCAUGGGUAGCGAACAGGAUUAGAUACCCUGGUAGUCCAUGCCGUAAACGAUGAGUGCUAGGUGUUGGAGGGUUUCCGCCCUUCAGUGCCGGAGCUAACGCAUUAAGCACUCCGCCUGGGGAGUACGACCGCAAGGUUGAAACUCAAAGGAAUUGACGGGGGCCCGCACAAGCGGUGGAGCAUGUGGUUUAAUUCGAAGCUACGCGAAGAACCUUACCAGGUCUUGACAUCUUGCGCCAACCCUAGAGAUAGGGCGUUUCCUUCGGGAACGCAAUGACAGGUGGUGCAUGGUCGUCGUCAGCUCGUGUCGUGAGAUGUUGGGUUAAGUCCCGCAACGAGCGCAACCCUUGUUACUAGUUGCCAGCAUUAAGUUGGGCACUCUAGUGAGACUGCCGGUGACAAACCGGAGGAAGGUGGGGACGACGUCAGAUCAUCAUGCCCCUUAUGACCUGGGCUACACACGUGCUACAAUGGACGGUACAACGAGUCGCGAACUCGCGAGGGCAAGCAAAUCUCUUAAAACCGUUCUCAGUUCGGACUGCAGGCUGCAACUCGCCUGCACGAAGUCGGAAUCGCUAGUAAUCGCGGAUCAGCAUGCCGCGGUGAAUACGUUCCCGGGCCUUGUACACACCGCCCGUCACACCAUGAGAGUUUGUAACACCCAAAGUCGGUGGGGUAACCUUUUAGGAGCCAGCCGCCUAAG
RNAcentral lists this ribosomal RNA (1443 nucleotides) under Limosilactobacillus fermentum. Its description in RNAcentral is "bacterial SSU rRNA". It matches the Rfam family "Bacterial small subunit ribosomal RNA". Lineage: Bacteria; Bacillati; Bacillota; Bacilli; Lactobacillales; Lactobacillaceae. The record is from RNAcentral.